GGCGGCUGCAAGUGCGGUGAGUGGCUACAAUCCGACAAGAUCUGGUCCGGCCGCCUUCGUGUUGUGUCCUGUAAGGACCGAUGUGAGAUCCGAUUGGAAGAUCCCAACUCCGGCGAACUCUUUGCUGCUUGUUUUGUUAAUCCGGGUCAGCGGGAGAACUCCGUUGAGACCGUUCUUGACUCUUCUCGAUACUUCGUUUUGAAGAUCGAGGACGGCCGGGGUAAGCACGCUUUUGUAGGGUUAGGUUUUGCUGAGCGAAAU
RNAcentral lists this unclassified non-coding RNA (261 nucleotides) under Hevea brasiliensis (rubber tree). Lineage: Eukaryota; Viridiplantae; Streptophyta; Magnoliopsida; Malpighiales; Euphorbiaceae. The record is from RNAcentral.